GGUUCAAAAUUAAGUUUGCUCUAAAGCCUUUUUGCUCCAUUAUCCCUCUGUUUAAGCUUUUCUCCUUUGUUUGUACGUCUUACUGGCCAUUAGCUUUUAUUUGAUUAUAAAUUUCUCUAUUUGCUCUUUGAUUUUGGGGUUUGUUAUACCUAUUGAGUUUGUGUCGACUAGUGUUUUAAAAGGCAGUUUCAGGAUUCGUCUCGAGGCUCGCCCUAAGGCUAGGUGCUGGCAAAACACCCCGAGGCUCACGUUCGGGGCUUAGUUUCUGUGAGGGCCCUAAGCGCUCGUCUGUACGCCCUAAACCCGCUUAAUGCCCAACGUUCGGGGCUCGCUUAACAGUUCUUACACAAAUUAUAUGUUAAAUUUCUUAAUUAAAAUCACUGAACCCUAUAAUUCUUUAACAAAUGGAUGAUACUUUAUAGUUUUUCAUCCAUAUAAAUAAGAAUAUUGGGUGUAACUCAAAUAAUAAGUCGCAGUAUUGCAUAUUUACUAUUUGAGAACAUUGUGAGGGUGAAUAUCACUUAAUAUUUCUUUUAAAAAUACUAUAGCCAAUUUGUAAAUGUUCACUUGUCAUUGGUCUUUUGACUUACGUCUCAAAUUUAUCAUAUUUUAUUAUUUCGCUAUUUGAAAGGAAUUUUCAUUUUAUUCAUGAACGAGUUACGUUUUAAUUAUACUACUGAUAAAGUUUAUUGAUAUAAAAUAAACCGUAUGAUAGUAAUAUUGUUUUAAGAAAUUGUAAUUUUUUCAUUGUUUGAAAGCUAAGAUGUUAUAAUUGAUAUGUAUUCCAUAAGAGUUUUUAUUUCAUUAUAUUAUUUACACUUGUAAAAUUAUGUUAUAUAUAAUUACAAGUUGUAAGCAGGGGUUACUAGAGGGUGAGGCUAAUAAAACUUUUGCUUUUGGGCCCCAAAAGAUUUUACCGAUGAAUUUUAUGAUUUAGAUUUCUCUUAAAUAAUGUUGAAGAUUGUAAAAAGAAGUAUAAAAUAUAUAUAACAAAAGAAAGAAAAAACACUAUCUAUGUAUUACGAACAAUAUUCUAAUACUUUGAAUUAAACUACUCAAAUCUUCAUAUUAUUAAAUAAAGUUUUUACAAUAACAUCCUAGGUAAUGUCUUUAAAACACAUGGCUAAUAGAUUGUUGACUUGAAUUGAUCCUCAUUAAUAUAAAUACUAAUGUUACCAUAUGAAGUAAAAGACAACAAGUAUGAAAAAUAAAAAAAGGCAAUACUAAUUUUUUUUAAUGUAAUUUUACCUAAUUAAAAAUAUUUAUUGUAAUUAUAUUAUUUUGUGAAAUACAAAAAAUUAAAUAUCCAUGGGGCUUACGCCCUGUGCCUCGGGGCUUACAUCUCGCCGAGGUAAAUGUAAAAUGCUCCGCCUUACGCCCUUGCCCUUUAAAACACUGGUGUCGAUUCUAAGCCCAUUAAAGUGGGUUUUGGCGCCUUAAAAUAGCGCCAUGCAAGCAACGCCCAGACAGAAUUUGAAAUCAAAGUUUCAUUUGCAUUGCACAAAAAAAACACACAUGAUGUCACACAGGAUGUCUGAAUUGUUGCGUACGCCUCUUUCUCUUAUAAUCGAAGCUAAUUCCGAUGAGGAAUAUGAUUUAUCGGACAACAGCAAGUCUUCAUCACCAACCAGGAAAGCAAUCAACUCUGAUUCCCGAAAAUCCGUAUCAGAGUCGAUUAAUGGGGUUGUAACCGGCAAGUCUGAAUCCGGUGUAAAAUGGGACGAUGACGGAGAACCGCCUCCGUCAUCGCUCCUCAAUUUGGAUUAUAUAGGUGAUGACGAAAUCGUGACGGAGGACGACAAUAGCAUACCGGUAGAAACAGUGAUCAAUGCUAAGGAGAUUACAGUCGAGGAGAAUACAGUUGAAGAUGAGGAGAAUUUGGUCGAUGGAUUUAAAUACAUAAUGUGUUUGAAGGUCGCCGGCACGUCGUCCACCGGCGGCGGUCUAUUCAAGUUGAAAAAACCAAAGUUUCUGAAGAAAGGAAGGUAUUAAUUGCUAUGUUAGUUUUUGGUGCUGAUCCUCUGUGUACAAGUUGCGGCUAGUUCACCAGUUCAAUUAGUUCUGCAUUGAUGAUCAUCUCUGUUUGUUUGGUUAUUAGGCGGCCUAUUCAAGUUGAAUAAACCAAAGUUUCUGAAGAAAGGAAGAGAUUAAUUGCUAAGUUGGUUUUUGGUGCUGAUCCUCUGUGUACAAGUUGCGGCUAGUUCACUAGUUCAAUUAGUUCUACAUUGAUGAUCAUCUCUGUUUGUUUGGUUAUUAGAAGUAUAUUUUAGCUAUAGUCUAUAGUAUCGUUCUAUCUACACAAGUUGCGGCUAGUUCACUAGUUCAAUUAGUUCUACAUUGAUGAUCAUCUCUGUUUGUUUGGUUAUUAGAAGUAUAUUUUAGCUAUAGUCUAUAGUACCGUUCUAGUUUAAUGUUGUGAUGAAGAGAAUCUAUCGAGUAUAUUUUAGCUAUAGUCUAUAGUACCGUUGUUUGGUUUAUAGAAGUAUAUUUUAGCUAUAGUCUAUAGUACCGUUCUAGUUUAACGUUGUGAUGAAGAGAAUCUAUCGAGAAACUAGUUUGCUGGUUUUCAUAGUACUAAUAGUGAUAUGCUGCUAGUCCACCGGUAUAUGUUUUGGUGCUGAUCCUCUGUUCACAAUUCCACGAGAAGUAUGCUGCUAGUUCACCAGUAGUCAAAAACAGCGUUUUUUUUUAGAUGACAUGGAAUCGCAACUGCUACCCUUAAAAAGGCAAAUCCCCUGCUGUCGUAGGCAGGGGGUUUCGAAUUUGAGACCUCCAUUAUGAAAGCCUCAUACUCAACCAAUUGAGCCACCCUUUAAUUCUAGCUUAACAUUGUGAUGAUAUUGCUGUUUUUCCCCUUUCUUAUCAUAGUUGUUGAGUAUGUAAAUCAACUCCAACACAUUCACUGAAGGCUAAAUGCUUAGUUUUUUUAUUUAGCUGGAAUUUUCUUACUCCUGUUAAUAGCAUUGACCGUUUUUUGGACUUUGUUAGCUCCAUGGUACUAGUAUAGCUUUAAUGUAAUGGAGACUAACAUGUUUUUUUGCUUCAAAAGCCCUUUGGCUUUUGCUUCUGUAUUAUGGCACCUUCCAGUUGCCCUAUAUCAAUGACAACAUCUUACUUCAUCAAAAAAAAAGUUGUUGAGUAUGUAAAUGUAGUAGUAGUUCUCUGUAAUGGUGAAUUCAUGAAGAUACUGAUAAAGCAGCAAUAUUAGUAGUAUUAUCCUAUUGCUCUUUCUUAAUUGCAUAGUUAUGUUCUCGAGCUGGUUGUGUGUUACUCUAUUUUAGUAUUAUUUUAUUAUAUAUAAUAAUAAUUGAUGGUUUCAACGUGAAUGCUUAAUAGCAUAAAUUCAGGUUUAAGGGCAAUUUCGUCAUUGCAACAAUUUCAUAUGAAACGUGGCUUUCAAUCUACAACUAAAGCAGCCACGUAUUCCUUUUUUGUUUUCUUUCCGAUCUGGAAAUUUCUUGGCAUACAUAAACCCACCAUAGCUAACCCAAUGCACAGAAAAAGAGACAAUCCGCCAUUACCCAGUAUAAUCUAACCGAGAAAGAGCUAAUAAUUCCGUUUCGAGAAAGAGGAAAUAGAUAAUCCCUUUUUGAGGGCCUCUUGAAGAUUUCUGAUUUUGAAUGGUCAAUACACAAUGCAGAAGCGACACACGACGUGUGGAACACUUGAUUAUUUAGCACCAGAAAUAGUGGACAACAAAGCCCAUGAUUAUAUAGUUUACAAUUGGACUUUGAAGAGCCUUUGCUAUGAUUUUUAUACGUGUGCUCCCCUUGUAGCUGAGAGCCAGAAUGAGGCUGAAAGAUUUUUUUUGAGAAGAGGCUAGAUUUUUGGGAACCUGCGGGAAGACAUAUUUAGUUAUUGAAACACUAUGAAUUUUUCUGUUGAAGUUGUUGAAGUUAUAGAAUCUGAUGGAUGAGGGCAGAAGUACAGCAGUUGGAUUCUACAUGCUUAUGGUGGGAAAAACUUAGCAUUUUAUUUUGUUCCUGAACUCUCACUAUUACUUCCUCUCUUUGUUGAUAGCUUGUAUAAAAUUGACAUGGUUUGUGUAAAAUUCAUCAUUACUCUUUUACGAGUCUAUGCGAUGGCUUCUGAUUUUCGUCAUGAAAAUACAACAUGCAUGAAUGGGUGUUUUGUUAGAAAUGCAUGUCAAAAACAUCUGACAUUUAGCA
This is a long non-coding RNA of Lycium barbarum (goji berry), 4169 nucleotides long. RefSeq lists it as uncharacterized. The record is from RefSeq and is a predicted model, not a curated record. The transcript has 3 exons. NCBI's taxonomy places the organism in Eukaryota, Viridiplantae, Streptophyta, Magnoliopsida, Solanales, Solanaceae.